AAACCAGUCUAACCAUACGGGUCAGUUACAACAACCACAGGAAUUUGACAAAUCUACAAGCAAAGAACCACAAUCUUUACCAGCAUGCAGAAUUAGCCACGGUGAUUGAGUCGCAUCUACUGAGAGAAAACAAGUAUACUCUUUCCAAGAAAAUCUCAUCUAUCUCAGGGAUAAAUUUUUACAAGAGCACACAAAAAUCGCAUGUCAAGCUGCUUCCAAAUCUCGCAGAUGGAACUCACCUAAUGUCAUAUGAGAUGAGAAGAGUGAAGUUAAAUAAGGUGACCGAUACUCAACUAAAGAUCUUCACGCAAGAGAAAAGUGCUCUCGAACCAGAAGCUAUUCCACAAUAUUAAGAGUUUCAAACAAAGUAAAGAACAACCAUUAACGAGCAAGGACAGACACACACAUUUAAGGAGUUUUAAAAAUCCGACCUUUCGUUUCAAUUUCGUUGAUCUUCUUCUCCGAACCACCAUGGCGUCGUCAAACAUGACUUAUCUGUGUUAGCUCAAGUGCUACAAGUUAAUGGGACUCUUCUUGACCGCGACUGUCCACUCACAGAAAGACUUGAUCAGGCUCCUAUCGAUGAUUCUGUAAGUGUAUUCAUUUUCUUGCAUUUUUUUCUGUCAUCAUCAGCUGUUUUCCUUUUUUUUUUUUUUUUUGCAGAAUCUGCAGAAGUUCAUUCCUACUAAAGUUCGUGUUCAUUCGAUUUAUCCAAAACGAUACAGCAAUUUUAGUCAAAGGAGAUCUGAUGCCAUGAAUGCCCAGCUUGUUAAACAUGUGAGGGGUGGUUGUGUUGCUGCUCGUAUUGUAGUCUAUCCAUCUUACCUUAAAUUGGAAGGAAAGGAUAUCUACUAUCCCACUAAGUAUGAAUUGGAUUGUCUCGAGCCUGGUGGACACGUUGUUCUCUUAACUCAUUACGCUUAUGAUGCUAAUCGACGUCUCUACUACCAGUUUCAAGAGACUGCCGGUGUAGAAGUCUGUGAUGAGGGGGUAUGUAUGCAUACGUUUAUGCCGAUUUAGUUACCCAUUUUCUUGAGAUCGAUGCGUGAUAUCUGUUGCUUUUUGAAUUUCUAUUCUACUUGCACUAGAAUGUUUCAGGUCUGUGAUUUUUGAAUGUUGGAUUGAGACCAGGAAAAAGCCUUAAAC
This is a long non-coding RNA of Brassica napus (rape), 1146 nucleotides long. RefSeq lists it as uncharacterized. The record is from RefSeq and is a predicted model, not a curated record. The transcript has 2 exons. NCBI's taxonomy places the organism in Eukaryota, Viridiplantae, Streptophyta, Magnoliopsida, Brassicales, Brassicaceae.